Molecule: ribosomal RNA, 488 nt
Filed under: uncultured bacterium
Lineage: Bacteria
Description: bacterial SSU rRNA
Rfam family: Bacterial small subunit ribosomal RNA
Source: RNAcentral
GACGAACGCUGGCGGCGUGCUUAACACAUGCAAGUCGAGCGGUAAGGCCCUUUCGGGGGUACACGAGCGGCGAACGGGUGAGUAACACGUGGGUGACCUGCCCUCAGCUCUGGGAUAAGCCUGGGAAACCGGGUCUAAUACUGGAUAUGACUCCAUGACGCAUGUUGUGGGGUGGAAAGCCUUGUGCGGCUGAGGAUGGGCCCGCGGCCUAUCAGCUUGUUGGUGGGGUGANGGCCUACCAAGGCGACGACGGGUAGCCGGCCUGAGAGGGCGAUCAGCCACACUGGCACUGCGACACGGGCCAGACUCCUACGGGAGGCAGCAGUAAGGAAUAUUGCGCAAUGGGCGAAAGCCUGACGCAGCGACGCCGCGUGGGGAUGAAGGUCUUCGGAUGUAAACCCCGUUUCGGGAGGGAAGAUGGAACGAGCAAUCGUUCGGACGGUACCUCCAGAAGCAGCCACGGCUAACUUCGUGCCAGCAGCCGCGGU